Long non-coding RNA from Monodelphis domestica (gray short-tailed opossum), 2812 nucleotides. RefSeq lists it as uncharacterized. NCBI's taxonomy places the organism in Eukaryota, Metazoa, Chordata, Mammalia, Didelphimorphia, Didelphidae. The record is from RefSeq and is a predicted model, not a curated record.
UAAAUAUUAAUAGAUAUAAAUUGGGGUGAUCCUCAGUAAUUUCUGACACUAAAUCUUAAGGAUUUUGACCAGGUAAUGAGAAGACAAGGCUCAUAGAAAAGACCCUGAUAUUGGUAAAAACUGAAGACAAAAGGAAAAGGGAUUGGCAAAGGAUGAGAUGGAUUGAUAGUGUUACAGAAGCAACAAGCAUGAGCUUGGACAGACUUUGGGAGAUGGUAGAGGAUAUAAGAGCCUGGAGUGCUAUAGUCCACGGGAUCAUGAAGAGUCAGUCAAGACUGAAGAACCACCAUAAUUUAUAACAGUGUAAGGGGUUCUUUGACCACAAAGUUUGAGAACUACUAUCAGAAAAUGGAUUAGAGAUGGAUUAGGCAGGGUAGCCAAUUAGGCAACCAUAAUAUUACAAAUAAGAUAUAAUAAGGGCAUGAGAUAAGAAAAUGGUGGUGUGAGUGGAGAAAAGAAUAUAAGUUUGAAAGAUGUCCUAGAUGUAGAAAUCAAUCUGGCAACUUAAUGGGAAUAUAGAGUGAAUGAGGAGUUGAAGACAGGUCUGAAAUUGUGAACCUGUGACUGGAAGGACAAUAGAAACAAUGUAUAGAAAUCACCACCACACCAUUUUUCUCUCACUUGAGCUCAAGUAGAAAUGAUUUCAACAUGAUUCUUGUAAAGGAUUUGCAUUAAAGUAUUUUCUGAGCUUUUGACAGGGAUGUUUUUGGCAAGAACUAAUAAAAAAGGAUAUAUCUUAGUUCAAACAUUAUUUUUUCAGGACCUUAUAUGCCAGAACCACAAUUUAUAAACAAUGGGCAACAUACGGUGGGAGUUUGAAAUCAAGAACAUUUUUCACUGAAUAUCUUGCGUGAACACCAAGCUGAAAAAUUUAAUAGUUCCCAGAUGUUAUAUAGUUUGAUCUAGUUUUCUCCAUGACAUGAUUAACCUUUAUCCAGUUAACAUUAAACAGAUCCCCUGUGCUGAGAGUCUCAUACUGUAAAUGAAAUUUCAACAAAUGUAAAAAUGACUCUUUAAGAAAAUAGAGGUUGCCAAGAACACAAAGUAGAAUUAAUGAAAGAAUUAAUUGCACAUAAAUUAUUUCAAAUAAAAAUCGUAAAAUACAACUGCUGAGAUUCUGCUUCAGUUCAAUAGGAAACUAUGAUGAUGUCUUUUUCAUUGUUCUAGUCUAUGAGUUUAAUGAGUUCAUGAGUUCAAUAUCUUUGUCCCAAAGUAAAUAUUUCAGAAAGGUCCUCCUCUCCUUCAACUUGCCUACCUCUACUAUACCAUUAUCAUUUUAUUGUGAGUCACCUCUUAGUGCCACAUCCAGUUUAAUAUUCUUCUCCCCUUCUAAGCUUCUCUGCUUCUCUAUUCACCAUGAAGCCAAGAUCCCAAAGGAACAACAAUAUAAAGGACUUCAGAGAUCAUCAAGACAAAUGAGAAAACUGAAGGACCCCAGACUGUCUGAAGCCUGGAAUGUUCUAGAAUUCUGGUUGGGAAUGAGGACUGGAAUUGUUAUUUCAUUGAUCUAGGGAACUCUCGGGAAUUGGACCAGAUAAUCUCUCAAGUUUAUUACAUGUCUAAAAUAUGGUAAUUUAAAAAGAAGAAAUGAAUAUCAAAAGAUCAUUUGCCAUUCUACUUGGACCUGAAAAGAGAUUUUCCUUUGACCAGUAGAUGUCACUACAGCCAUACAAAGUCAAGUUUAUUCCAGUUUACUCUUAAGUGGAACAUCUUUAAAUGCUUACACUCAUCCAUUGUGGAAAAGAUCUGUCUCUGUUGCUAGAGAAGCCCUUGAAGACAGGUGCAUUCAGAGGUCAGACCACACCAUUCAUGCUAUCCCUGAAGUGAAAGACCUGAAUACCUACUAUAUGUUCCAGACAUCUAUGGAUUCAUUGAUGUAGAUCUACCCUCCACUGAUUCAGUUUGUGAUGUCUCCCUCUUAGAGAGUGUUUUCCUGAGUUGUUAUGGAUGAAUAAUUUUGCCUUGUUCUGAAGCUUUCUGGUGCUGAGCUCUUCACAUUUAGCUUGGCUGGUUUCCAGAUCCCAGACACAUAUGCUCCAUUGCAAGACCUAUUCUUAAAGCCCUUCCCACUUGGUAGGACCUGCCAACCCCUGUGUUUUGCCCUUAUAACUUUCAAAAAUUCAGGGUCACCCUGAUGUGAUGGUAAGACAUCGGAGAAGGACUUUUGUGGAAAUUCAGAUAAAUAAUUCAGAUUCAGAUAAAUAAAAUAGAAGGUACAUUUCACUACCAUAGUAAUCUGGAGAUAGAACUAAUAAUAAUACUUCAACACUAAUAUAGCUAAGUAUUUCAGUGCUGGUUUUGUCUUACAUCAAGAGAGUCUAGUAUAUUUUAAAUGCCACAAGGAGGUCUGCUUUAGGGAAAAGAAAUCAAUAAGUAUGCCUUUAAGGGACCACUAUGUGGAGGGGGGGUAGCAUGAUGUUGUGGAAAUAGAGCUAGAUUUGGAGAGAGAAGACCCUCGUCUGAGAACUGGCUCUGAAGUUUACUCUAGUACUUUGGGAAGUCACUUUACUUCUUGAAGCCUCAGCUUCCAUGCCUUCAAAAUGACAAUAAGAAUACUUGCAUGAGCUACCUCAUAGAGUUACUAUGAGGAAAAUACUUUCUAACUUGUAAAGUGCAAUGAAAGAGUGGGAUAUUAGGGUAAGGAGCUAGAGGAAGGAGACCAUGUAAAUAAAGGCAUGGGCAUGACAACAUGGAUGUAUUAAACAAAACAGUGUUAAGCUUUUACAAUGUGACUAUCACAUUGUUUUAGAGUUUUGUUUAGGAUACAAAGAAAAGUAUGAAAUUUUCUCUGAAAUGGCCAAGAAUCACAUAG